RNAcentral lists this transfer RNA (72 nucleotides) under Clostridiales bacterium. RNAcentral describes it as "tRNA-Cys". It matches the Rfam family "tRNA". From Rfam's summary of the family: Transfer RNA (tRNA) molecules are approximately 80 nucleotides in length. Their secondary structure includes four short double-helical elements and three loops (D, anti-codon, and T loops). Lineage: Bacteria; Bacillati; Bacillota; Clostridia; Eubacteriales. The record is from RNAcentral.
GGCGCCAUAGCCAAGCGGUAAGGCAGAGGUCUGCAAAACCUCGAUUCCCCGGUUCAAAUCCGGGUGGUGCCU